RNAcentral lists this ribosomal RNA (776 nucleotides) under uncultured Neocallimastigales. RNAcentral's name for it is "partial large subunit ribosomal RNA". It matches the Rfam family "Eukaryotic large subunit ribosomal RNA", at positions 24 to 647 of the family's 3401-position model. The record is from RNAcentral. Lineage: Eukaryota; Fungi; Neocallimastigomycota; Neocallimastigomycetes; Neocallimastigales.
UAUGUGAUCGUCUCUCGCAUAUCAAUAAGCGGAGGAAAAGAAACUAACAAGGAUUCCCCUAGUAACGGCGAGUGAAGCGGGAAGAGCUCAAAUUUGAAAUCUUAAAGGGUUUCCCUUUACGAAUUGUAGUUUAAAGAAGUGUUUUCUGUUGAGGUUUUGGUAAAAGUUCUUUGGAAUAGGACAUCAUAGAGGGUGAGAAUCCCGUAUUUGACCUUUACUUUCAACUUUGUGAUACACUUUCAAAGAGUCGGAUUGUUUGGGAAUGCAGUCCAAAAUGGGUGGUAAAUUUCAUCUAAAGCUAAAUAUUGGCGAGAGACCGAUAGCGAACAAGUACCGUGAGGGAAAGAUGAAAAGAACUUUGAAAAGAGAGUUAAACAGUACGUGAAAUUGUCAAAAGGGAAGCGUUUGACACCAGUGUUGUUUUUCUGAAAAUCAAUUAAAGAACUGUUUAUGCUAAGCUGUUUAGACUUUAUCAGCUUAACUGCUUAGUUUUGAGCUUUUCUUUAAUGCACUUUUCAGUUAACAAGUCAACAUCAAUUUCUUUUGCUGUAAAAAAGCUCGAGGAAGGUGGCUUGAGAUUCGUCUUAAGUGUUUAUAGCCUCUUGCCUAUGCAGUCGGAGAGAUUGAGGUCUGCAGGCGUAGAUCCUUCGGGGCUAAAUGCAUUUGUGCUAAGUUAUAGCAUUUUAUAGACAACUUGUUGACUAUGAUUUGUCUUGUAGCUUACUCGCUUAUGUUAUUUUACCUACGCUUAGGAUGUUGAUCUGUAGUGCGUGCGC